RNAcentral lists this transfer RNA (74 nucleotides) under Camelus bactrianus (Bactrian camel). It matches the Rfam family "tRNA". Rfam says of the family: Transfer RNA (tRNA) molecules are approximately 80 nucleotides in length. Their secondary structure includes four short double-helical elements and three loops (D, anti-codon, and T loops). Lineage: Eukaryota; Metazoa; Chordata; Mammalia; Artiodactyla; Camelidae. The record is from Rfam by way of RNAcentral. RNAcentral also lists the same sequence under 2 other names.
GAGGGUAUAGCUUCAAGCGGUAGAGCGCAUGCUUAGCAUGCACAAGGUCCUGGGUUCAAUCCCCAGUACCUCCU